UGAGCAAUCUGCCCUUCUCUUCGGAAUAAGCGUUGGAAACGACGUCUAAUGCCGAAUACGACCUCCUUUCGCAUGAUCGGAGGUGGAAAGCUCCGGCGGAGAAGGAUGAGCUCGCGGCCUAUCAGCUAGUUGGUGUGGGUAAUGGCCCACAAGGCGACGACGGGUAGCCGGCCUGAGAGGCGACCGGCCACACUGGGACUGAGACACGGCCCAGACUCCUAGGGAGNAG
Molecule: ribosomal RNA, 229 nt
Filed under: uncultured bacterium
Lineage: Bacteria
Description: partial 16S ribosomal RNA
Rfam family: Bacterial small subunit ribosomal RNA
Source: RNAcentral